This is a long non-coding RNA of Mustela lutreola (European mink), 1144 nucleotides long. RefSeq lists it as uncharacterized. The transcript has 3 exons. The record is from RefSeq and is a predicted model, not a curated record. Lineage: Eukaryota; Metazoa; Chordata; Mammalia; Carnivora; Mustelidae.
GCUGCAGGGAUGGCGCAUGCGCUUAUGGAGAACUCCCGCGGACAGACGCAGGCGCAGACGUAGACGCAGGUGCUGAGCGGCGUCCCUUACUGGUAUAAGAAUGGCAGUGGAAUCAUCAGAAGGAUCUUUGAUAAUGCGGCUUCCUGCCUGUCCAAAACAAGAGUGCUCAUACAGCAGGAAAUUCAGUCAUCCAAGGAUCUUUCUGCAAAGCCCAUCUAUGUAAGUAUAGGGAGUUUUUGUACUCCCUUCCCAUUACUUCUAUAACAUCAUCUUUUCUCAGUCAUCCCUAUCUUGGUUAUUAGCAUCAUCAUUCACAUAAAUGAUAAAGCCAAAAACCUCAUCAAUCUUGUUUCCCUUCUUCCUGGCUUCUCACAACAAAUCCAUCAGUGAAUCUGUUUGACCAAACCUCCUAAAUAUUUCCCAAUUCCAAUAACCUCUCACCACCUUCACUCUUACCUUUAUUUACUUUAUUGGACUAUAGUAAAAGCCUCCUAACUGAUAAACCUGGCCCUGGGAUCGAGCCCCGCAUUGGGCUCUCUGCUCAGCAGGGAGCCUGCUUCCUCUUCUCUCUCUGCCUGCCUGUCUGCCUACUUGUGAUCUCUGUCUGUCAAAUAAAUAAAUAAAGUCUUUUUUAAAAAAAAUAAGCAUUUCAGUCCUUUCACCACUUAAAGAUUUUAGGAUAUAAGGAUGUAAGAUUAGUGAGGAAAUUAAUUGCAAAUAGCUCAGAAUUUGCUUUUAUUUUAGUAUUAUUUUCAAUGGAAUCCAUAGAUUCCAUAGAAUUUCUGGGGGUACCUGGGUGGCUCAGUGGGUUAAGCCUCUGUCUUUGGCUCAGGUCAUGAUCUCAGGGCCCUGGGAUCAAGCCACACAUUGGGCUCUCUGCUCAGCAGGGAACCUCCUUCCCCCUCCCCCGCCUCUCUGCCAGACUCUCUGCCUACUUGUGAUCUCUAUCUCUGUCAAAUAAAUAAAUAAAAUCUUAAAAAAAAAAAGAAUUUCUAGUGAUAUGGAUGAACAUUGAUUAUACAGUCUAUGAGAAAAACAGGUAGAAUUUUAAAAUGCUUUAGAGGUGUUUGGUUGGUUCAGUCGGUAGAGCAUGCAACUCUUCAUCCCUUAAUCUUGUGCGUUCAACCCCCACAUUGGGCAAGGA